AGCUUUACGAAUCCGUGCUGAGAUUUCGUCAGACACCGACCCAUUAGUACUGAUCAGACAUCCAAGAUAAGUGAAGUU
RNAcentral lists this microRNA precursor (78 nucleotides) under Schistosoma haematobium. RNAcentral describes it as "mir-3492 microRNA precursor family". It matches the Rfam family "mir-3492 microRNA precursor family". Lineage: Eukaryota; Metazoa; Platyhelminthes; Trematoda; Strigeidida; Schistosomatidae. The record is from Rfam by way of RNAcentral.